GAUGAACGCUGGCGGCGUGCCUAAUACAUGCAAGUCGAGCGAACGGACGAGAAGCUUGCUUCUCUGAUGUUAGCGGCGGACGGGUGAGUAACACGUGGAUAACCUACCUAUAAGACUGGGAUAACUUCGGGAAACCGUAGCUAAUACCGGAUAAUAUUUUGAACCGCAUGGUUCAAUAGUGAAAGACGGUCUUGCUGUCACUUAUAGAUGGAUCCGCGCCGCAUUAGCUAGUUGGUAAGGUAACGGCUUACCAAGGCAACGAUGCAUAGCCGACCUGAGAGGGUGAUCGGCCACACUGGAACUGAGACACGGUCCAGACUCCUACGGGAGGCAGCAGUAGGGAAUCUUCCGCAAUGGGCGAAAGCCUGACGGAGCAACGCCGCGUGAGUGAUGAAGGUCUUCGGAUCGUAAAACUCUGUUAUUAGGGAAGAACAUAUGUGUAAGUAACUGUGCACAUCUUGACGGUACCUAAUCAGAAAGCCACGGCUAACUACGUG
RNAcentral lists this ribosomal RNA (497 nucleotides) under uncultured bacterium. RNAcentral describes it as "partial 16S ribosomal RNA". It matches the Rfam family "Bacterial small subunit ribosomal RNA", at positions 28 to 507 of the family's 1533-position model. The record is from RNAcentral.